UACGGAGGGGGCAAGCGUUGUUCGGAAUCAUUGGGCGUAAAGAGUAUGUAGGCGGCUAUUUAAGUCAGGCGUGUAAGCCCACGGCUCAACCGUGGAAUUGCGUUUGAAACUAUUUAGCUUGAGUACAGGAGAGGAAGGCGGAAUUCCCAGUGUAGCGGUGAAAUGCAUUGAUAUUGGGAGGAACACCAAUGGCGAAGGCAACUUUCCGGCCUAAAACUGACGCUGAGGGACGAAAGCGUGGGGAGCGAACAGG
This 253-nucleotide ribosomal RNA is filed under the name uncultured bacterium. RNAcentral describes it as "partial 16S ribosomal RNA". It matches the Rfam family "Bacterial small subunit ribosomal RNA", at positions 524 to 776 of the family's 1533-position model. The record is from RNAcentral.